This 414-nucleotide long non-coding RNA is filed under the name Homo sapiens (human). Its description in RNAcentral is "HSALNT0306847". The record is from RNAcentral. Lineage: Eukaryota; Metazoa; Chordata; Mammalia; Primates; Hominidae.
GCGGCGACAGCAGCCCGUUGGUGUGCGGCACGCUGCGGUCCGUACCCGGCCCGGGGCCCGCGCCCGCGCCCGGGUGGAAGCGGGCCUUGGCGUAGUUGCUCACGAACUGGUCCUGCAGGAAAGAGCCGGCCAUGGCGUAGCGGGCCCCGGGCACGAUCUGCGAGCGCGGCGAGUCGUUGGGCGAGGGGGUCAGGCGGUCCAUGUCACAGCCGGUGUAGAUCCUGCGGGAUUGUUUCAGAAACCCCUAGGAAAAAGCCGCGCACGCAGUAAUCAUGAAAGACUGGCCUUCACCCGUGUUCUGGAACCCGAGGUUUGCUGCUGGAAGCCUCCAAAGUACUUAGUGUCUAUUGUUUCCCCUGUGUGAAACUUUCACUCCCACCUCUACUAAUACAAACAAGAAUUACUACUCUGAAA